AUAUUAUAUUUUGAUUAUUAGUUACACUAUUUAUCGCGCCUAAAAGUGUAGUGUAUACUAGUCUGGGAGCCGUUUUUCUUGUGGCGAUUUUUUAAAUGAAUUAUCUACGUCAAUAUUGAACCCACGGGGGGCGCCUCACCCCUGCCUUCCCCAUGGACAGUCCAGCAAUGUCUGCUUCCACUCCCCCUGUGUUUCCAGACCCAGAGAGUGAAGCAAAGCCAGAAUCAACCACCACACUAGAUAAAUAGCCAUUACUGUGACGAUGGAAUGCUGUCAGCGAGCAGCAUGGAAGACGCAGAGAGAGUGGUGGUCAGGUGGUGGUGGAGACAGGGAGAAUAUGUGGCCUGGAGAUUAACAAUCAGAACACCAAUAAUCUUGUGACCUCCAUGCACCCUUCCUAAUGUCAAUAAAGUUGUCUUAUCAUGCCCAAAAUUGUCUUCUACUGCAAUUACUAAUAAACCAUAUUAUUAUUA
Long non-coding RNA from Portunus trituberculatus (swimming crab), 473 nucleotides. RefSeq lists it as uncharacterized. The record is from RefSeq and is a predicted model, not a curated record. Lineage: Eukaryota; Metazoa; Arthropoda; Malacostraca; Decapoda; Portunidae. The transcript is spliced from 2 exons.